This 406-nucleotide ribosomal RNA is filed under the name uncultured bacterium. RNAcentral's name for it is "bacterial SSU rRNA". It matches the Rfam family "Bacterial small subunit ribosomal RNA", at positions 355 to 775 of the family's 1533-position model. The record is from RNAcentral.
UGGGGAAUAUUGGGCAAUGGGCGCAAGCCUGACCCAGCAACGCCGCGUGAAGGAAGAAGGUCUUCGGAUUGUAAACUUCUGUCAUUGGGGACGAAGGAAGUGACGGUACCCAAUGAGGAAGCCCCGGCUAACUACGUGCCAGCAGCCGCGGUAAUACGUAGGGGGCGAGCGUUGUCCGGAAUUACUGGGCGUAAAGGGUGCGUAGGCGGCGAUGCAAGUCCAUUGUGAAAAGCCCGGGCUUAACCUGGGAGGUGCAGUGGAAACUGCAUGGCUUGAGUGCAGGAGAGGAAAGUGGAAUUCCUAGUGUAGCGGUGAAAUGCGUAGAUAUUAGGAGGAACACCAGUGGCGAAGGCGGCUUUCUGGACUGUAACUGACGCUGAGGCACGAAAGCGUGGGGAGCAAACAG